UCCUGGCUCAGAGCGAACGCUGGCGGCAGGCUUAACACAUGCAAGUCGAGCGGGCCCUUCGGGGUCAGCGGCAGACGGGUGAGUAACGCGUGGGAGCGUGCCCUUCGGUUCGGAAUAACUCAGGGAAACUUGAGCUAAUACCGGAUACGCCCUUAUGGGGAAAGGCUUGACUGCCGAAGGAUCGGCCCGCGUCUGAUUAGCUGGUUGGUGAGGUUAUGGCUCACCAAGGCGACGAUCAGUAGCUGGUCUGAGAGGAUGAUCAGCCACACUGGGACUGAGACACGGCCCAGACUCCUACGGGAGGCAGCAGAAGGG
RNAcentral lists this ribosomal RNA (315 nucleotides) under uncultured Methylobacterium sp. Its description in RNAcentral is "bacterial SSU rRNA". It matches the Rfam family "Bacterial small subunit ribosomal RNA", at positions 17 to 359 of the family's 1533-position model. The record is from RNAcentral. Lineage: Bacteria; Pseudomonadati; Pseudomonadota; Alphaproteobacteria; Hyphomicrobiales; Methylobacteriaceae.